RNAcentral lists this ribosomal RNA (2765 nucleotides) under Nanobdellota archaeon. Its description in RNAcentral is "partial 23S ribosomal RNA". It matches the Rfam family "Bacterial large subunit ribosomal RNA", at positions 1 to 2329 of the family's 2925-position model. Lineage: Archaea; Nanobdellati; Nanobdellota. The record is from RNAcentral.
CCGGGCAAGCACAAAGGGUAAGUGGUGGAUGCCUUGACACCAAAUGGCGAUGAAGGACGCAGUGUAGUUGCGAUAAGCUUCGGGGAGGUGCGUAGCAACCGACGAUCCGGAGAUUUCCGAAUGGGGAAACCCUGCCGAGCAAACCUCGGCAACCAGAUACCGCAUGGUAUCUGGAGCGCACCCAGGGAACUGAAACAUCUAAGUACCUGGUGGAAAAGAAACUAAAAAGUAUUCCCUAAGUAGCGGCGAGCGAAAGGGGAGAAGCCUAAACCUGCGUGCUUCGCACGCGAUAUUGAAAUAUUUAAAUAUUUAAAUAUUGCGCGCGGAGCGCGUAGGGGUUGCAAGACCUGGACGUUUUUUGAACUUUUGACAUGUGACCUUUGACAUUUGACUCAGUUAAUUGUCAAUUGUCAGGUGUUAAUUGUCUUGAAAAAGAUUGGUAAAAAAUGAGCGCGUUAGCAGAAGCCGCUGGAAAGCGGCCCCAGAGACGGUGAUAGGCCGGUACGCGAAAACACGCUCACCAAUUUGUCUUUGUUCUUAAGUACCUCAUGGCCAGAUAACCUUGAGGGAAUCCGGGAGUACUAUCUCCUAAGGCUAAAUACAUUUGGUGAUCGAUAGUGAACUAGUACCGUGAGGGAAAGGUGAAAAGCAGUCCGGUUAGGACGAUGAAAUAGUAUCUGAAACCACUUACUUACAAGGAGGCGGAGCUCAUACUUGUGCUUCGCACAAGUCGCGGAAGAACGCAGAACACACGCAGACAUCGCGGAAUUAGUUUUCCGCGUAGUUCAGCGUACUGUCUGCGUAGGUCUGCGCCUUGCGCGGAGCGCAAAGGAGUGACGCCGUGCCUAUUGAAGAAUGAGUCAGCGAGUUUAUAUAUGCCGCAAGUUUAACCCCGCUUGACGGGGGAAGGCGCAGGGAAACCAAGUCUUAAUAGGGCGAUCUAAGCGGCAUGUGUAAGACCCGAAACCAGGCGAGCUUACCUUGGUCAGGGUGAAACGUUGCCGAAAGGCGCGUGGAGGCCCGCACCGGUUGAUUGUGCAAAAUCUUCGGAUGAACUGAGGUAAGGAGUGAAAAGCUAAUCGAGCUUGGUAAUAGCUGGUUCUCUCCGAAAUAGCUUUCGGGCUAGCGUCCGUUAAAUAGUCCUUCGCAGGUAGAGCUACUGGUUGAAGCGGAAAGGGAGAAAUCUCGCCUCUUCAGUCAAACUCCAAAUGGCGGUGGAUGUUCGCGGGCAGUCAGAACGUGGGGGCUAAGCUCCAUGUUCGAGAGGGAAAGAGCCCUGACCGUCGUCUAAGGUCCCUAAAUCUAUGCUAAGUGUAAAAGGUGGUCUUUGUCCUAAGACAGAUAGAAGGUUGGCCCAGAGGUAGCCAUCCUUUAAAGAGUGUGUAACAACCCACUAUUCGAGGACAUUGGCGCCGAAAAUUUAUCGGGGCUUAAGCAUGGUGCCGAAGACACGGAUACCUUGUGCUUUGCACAAGGUCGCAGACACACGCAGAAUGAACGCAGACCUACGCAGACAAUAAAUUUUGUCAGCGUGAGUCCGCGUCUAGUCAGCGUAAGUCAGCGACCUCGCGCAAAGCGCGAGGUAUGGUAGGAGAGCAUUCCCAGCGCGCUGAAGGCAGAUCCGUGAGGACUGCUGGAGUGCUGGGAAGAGAGAAUGCUGACAUGAGUAAUCGCAAGGCCGGUGAAAAACCGGCCCCCCGCAAGCCCAAGGUUUCCUCCGCAACGAGCAUCGUCGGAGGGUUAGGCGACCCUAAGGUAAUGGCGAAAGCCGGAGCCGAUGGCAAAGCUGGUUAAUAUUCCAGCCCCUCUUUUUCUCUUUGUCCGAUGGGGGGACGGAGCGUAGUAGAAGAAUCUUCUUAAUGGUUUGGAGUCCCUGAUCGAGAGUGGAACGUAGGCAAAUCCGCGUUCCUGUGUUUAAUCGCAAACUCCAGAGUAGGGGCGAGUGGAAGGGUUUCCUUUCGCAAGUUCUUCGAGCGCGCUUCCAAGAAAAACCUCUAAGGUUGAGGAAGAGAGUCCGUACCGUAAACCGACACCGGUGGGCGAGGCGAGUAGCCUCAGGGGAACGGGUGAGUCCUCGUUAUGCAACUCGGAAAAAAAGCGACCGUAACUUCGGGAUAAGGUCUGCCUGCGCAUCACACUGCGUGUGAUGCUGAUAUUUAAAUAUUGAAAUGUUUAAAUAUCGCAUCGCGCCCAGCGCGAUGCGUGGGCUGCAACAAAAGUAUCUCUGGCGACUGUUUACCAAAAACACAGCUCCCUGCGAACUCGUAAGAGGAUGUAUAGGGGGUGACACCUGACCGAUGCGAGAAGGUUAACGCUGGGGGUCGUGCCGCAAGGCACGGCUCACUGGCCGAAGCCCUCGUCAAUGUCAGCGGUAACUAUAACCGUUCUAAGGUAGCGCAUUUCCUUUCCGGGUAAGUUCCGGAGCGCACGAAAGGUGUAACGACUGGAGAACUGUCUCAACGAGGAGCCCGAUGAAAAUGCGAUACCCGUGAAGACGCGGGUUACCGACAGCAAGACGAAAAGACCCCGGGAGCUUUACUGCAGCUUGAUAUUGGCUCUAAUGGGUACAUGCGUAGCAUAGUGGGGAGGCAUUGAAGUCCUGAUUCCGGUCAGGGUGGAGCCGCCAGUGAAAUACCCAUCUUGUAAUUAUUAGCGUCUAACCCGAUACGCAAAACGUAUUGGAGACUGUGUCUGGCGGGCAGUUUAUCUGGGGCGGAUUCCUCCCAAAGAGUAACGGAGGAGUUUAUUAAGGUGGACUUAGCCCG